GCAAAGAGCCUAAUUAUCCUAAUAAUACCAUCUGAUAUUGGAAACUAAGCAGGAUUUGGCCUGAUUAGUACUUGGAUGAGAGACUGCCAUCGAAUACCAGGUGCUGUUGGCU
This 112-nucleotide ribosomal RNA is filed under the name Anolis carolinensis (green anole). Lineage: Eukaryota; Metazoa; Chordata; Lepidosauria; Squamata; Anolidae. The record is from RNAcentral.